GACGGAGGUGGCAAGCGUUAUCCGGAAUUAUUGGGCGUAAAGGGUACGUAGGCGGCUGGACAAGUCUGGGGUCAAAGGCCACAGCUCAACUGUGGGAAGGCCGUGGAAACUGACGGGCUAGAGUGAGGUAGGGGCUGGGGGAAGUCCCGGUGUAGCGGUGAAAUGCGUAGAGAUCGGGAGGAACACCUGAGGCGGAAGCGCGCAACUGGGCCUGUACUGACGCUGAGGUGCGAAAGCUUGGGGAGCGAAUGGG
RNAcentral lists this ribosomal RNA (253 nucleotides) under uncultured bacterium. RNAcentral describes it as "partial 16S ribosomal RNA". It matches the Rfam family "Bacterial small subunit ribosomal RNA", at positions 524 to 776 of the family's 1533-position model. The record is from RNAcentral.